RNAcentral lists this ribosomal RNA (403 nucleotides) under uncultured bacterium. Its description in RNAcentral is "bacterial SSU rRNA". It matches the Rfam family "Bacterial small subunit ribosomal RNA", at positions 359 to 776 of the family's 1533-position model. The record is from RNAcentral.
GAAUCUUCCGCAAUGGGCGCAAGCCUGACGGAGCGACACCGCGUGAAGGAUGAAGAGCUUCUGCUCGUAAACUUCUGUUGUGAGGGACGAAAUUUUUGACGGUACCUCACGAGAAAGCACCGGCUAAUCCCGUGCCAGCAGCCGCGGUAAUACGGGAGGUGCAAGCGUUACUCGGAAUUACUGGGCGUAAAGCGUCCGCAGGUGUCUUGUUGCGUCUGGGGUAAAAGCACGGGGCUCAACCCCGUGUAUGUCUCGGAAACGAGCAAGAUGGAGUCACUCAGAGGUAUCUGGAAUGCCGUGUGUAGGGGUAAAAUCCGUUGAUCCACGGUAGAACGCCAAAAGCGAAAGCAGGAUACUGGGGGUGUACUGACACUCAUGGACGAAAGCGUGGGGAGCGAACGGG